Molecule: transfer RNA, 82 nt
Organism: Natranaerobius trueperi
Lineage: Bacteria; Bacillati; Bacillota; Clostridia; Natranaerobiales; Natranaerobiaceae
Rfam family: tRNA
About the family: Transfer RNA (tRNA) molecules are approximately 80 nucleotides in length. Their secondary structure includes four short double-helical elements and three loops (D, anti-codon, and T loops).
Source: Rfam
GCGAGGGUGGUGGAAUUGGCAGACACGCUAGACUUAGGAUCUAGUGGGUUUUCCCGUGUGGGUUCGAAUCCCACCCCUCGCA